GUGUUGCACAAUUGUAACGGCAUCCUUUUUUACGUCAGUUCGAGUGAAAUUGCUUUUUGGCAAUUUUGUAUCGAGAACAAGUAAAAAAGAUAUAGUGGAUAGCCCGACCUUUA
RNAcentral lists this small RNA (113 nucleotides) under Winogradskyella arenosi. RNAcentral's name for it is "Flavo-1 RNA". Lineage: Bacteria; Pseudomonadati; Bacteroidota; Flavobacteriia; Flavobacteriales; Flavobacteriaceae. The record is from RNAcentral.